CAAUAGCGUAUAUUUAAGUUGUUGCAGUUAAAAAGCUCGUAGUUGGAUUUCGGGUGGGAAUGGCCGGUCCGCCGUUUCGGUGUGCACUUGCUACGCCCACCUUGCUGCCGGGGACGUGCUCUUGAGUUCACGCUCGGGACACGGAGUCGGCGAGGUUACUUUGAGUAAAUUAGAGUGUUCAAAGCAGGCCUACGCUCUGAAUACAUUAGCAUGGAAUAACACGAUAGGACUCUGGCCUAUCUUGUUGGUCUGUAGGACCGGAGUAAUGAUUAAGAGGGACAGUCGGGGGCAUUCGUAUUUCAUUGUCAGAGGUGAAAUUCUUGGAUUUAUGAAAGACGGACUACUGCGAAAGCAUUUGCCAAGGAUGUUUUCAUUAA
RNAcentral lists this ribosomal RNA (377 nucleotides) under uncultured eukaryote. RNAcentral describes it as "partial 18S ribosomal RNA". It matches the Rfam family "Eukaryotic small subunit ribosomal RNA", at positions 592 to 976 of the family's 1831-position model. The record is from RNAcentral.